CUCGGCGGGGCCGGGCGCGGGCGGGCUCGGGGCGAGAUGGAGCCGUGACCAGUGACUGCGGAGAGAGCUGCUGGCAUGGAAGUGAGCUGGGUUUGUCCGUGGGAACUGUGAGUAAGGGUUCAGAUUGCUAGCACAGUGGGAAAACAAGCAUGUUCCAAGGUGUAGCUUUUCAUCAGAACAGCAAGCUGAAUUGACUUGCUCUGGGGCUGCAGUCACUACUUGAAGGAGAGAAGGUUGCCAUCACGAAAGCCAAAGUGGAUUUCUCCGGCGUGGUGUGCCUGCCCCCUUCCGUCAUUGCUGGAAAUGGGCUGGACGGAGGCGGGGCUGGCGAAAACGAUGAUGAGUC
Long non-coding RNA from Lepidothrix coronata (blue-crowned manakin), 346 nucleotides. RefSeq lists it as uncharacterized. The record is from RefSeq and is a predicted model, not a curated record. The transcript is spliced from 4 exons. NCBI's taxonomy places the organism in Eukaryota, Metazoa, Chordata, Aves, Passeriformes, Pipridae.